This 238-nucleotide ribosomal RNA is filed under the name uncultured bacterium. RNAcentral's name for it is "partial 16S ribosomal RNA". It matches the Rfam family "Bacterial small subunit ribosomal RNA", at positions 96 to 334 of the family's 1533-position model. The record is from RNAcentral.
CGGCGGACGGGUGAGUAACGCGUGGGUAACCUGCCUCAUACAGGGGGAUAACAGUUGGAAACGACUGCUAAUACCGCAUAAGCGCACAGUACCGCAUGGUACAGUGUGAAAAACUCUGGUGGUAUGAGAUGGACCCGCGUCUGAUUAGCUAGUUGGUGGGGUAACGGCCUACCAAGGCGACGAUCAGUAGCCGACCUGAGAGGGUGACCGGCCACAUUGGGACUGAGACACGGCCCAA